CAAGCAAAGCCGUAGAUAUCCUCUUCCUGCUACACAUAGUAUUAGCCUACGUAAGGUCAUUACGGCGCCGUUUCCCUUUUUAAUUGGCGUAGUUCAACUCAUCAUCCACCCAAGUUCAUUUCGUUCAAAGCUAUAAAUAACCCCUCAAACCAUUCAACUUUCCCACCACCACUCCUCACUCCUUCAACUCAUUAACCUCUCUCUCUCUCUCUCCUUCAACUCAUUAACCUCUCUCUCUCUCUCUCUCUCUCUCAUUUUCAUCCGCAAAUGGCGAACCGUAGAAGCCUCUUUUCUCUCUCACUUAUCUUUGUGUUCAUGAUCAACUCAGCCAUAGCCACUCCAGUCACAUACAAUGUGGCCAGUUUAGGAGCCAAAGCAGAUGGCAAGACUGACUCCACAAAAGCCUUCCUCUUUGCAUGGGCUAAAGCUUGUGCCUCGAUGAAUCCCGGUGUCAUUUAUGUGCCGGCAGGAACGUUCUUUCUUCGCGAUGUGGUGUUCAGUGGGCCUUGCAAGAACAAUGCCAUCACCUUCCGCAUUGCCGGAACCCUUGUGGCCCCGUCGGAUUACCGGGUCAUCGGUAAUGCAGCUAACUGGAUUUUCUUUCACCAUGUAAACGGGGUUACCAUAUCAGGUGGAAUUCUUGACGGCCAAGGCACGGCCUUGUGGGCUUGCAAGGCCUCUCAUGGCGAGAGUUGUCCCAGCGGAGCAACGGUAAUUAAUUCACUACUUUAAAUAUCAUAUUCAUGACACCAUUAAAUAUCAAAUUCAUGACACCAUUAUUUUGUGCUUCAUUAUUAGUGAGAAUUUUAAAGGUCAACGUACGUACAAUUUGCUUUAUUAUUUGCUACCAAUUGAAUUGAGGGUUUAUAAAAUAAGUUUAAACUCUACAGAACGUAAUCAAAUGGACAUGAUAAAUUGUACCACAAGCUUAGCUUGAUCAAGUAAUUUCGUGUAUAUAUGUGCAGACUUUGGGUUUUUCCGACUCAAACAACAUCGUGGUGAGUGGAUUGGCAUCCCUAAACAGCCAAAUGUUCCACAUAGUCAUCAACGACUGCCAAAAUGUGCAAAUGCAAGGUGUCAGGGUUUCUGCUUCCGGGAACAGCCCUAACACCGAUGGCAUUCAUGUCCAAAUGUCAUCUGGUGUCACAAUCCUCAACUCCAAGAUUGCAACCGGUGACGAUUGUGUCUCAAUUGGCCCCGGAACCUCAAAUUUGUGGAUAGAAGGCGUUGCUUGUGGACCUGGCCAUGGAAUUAGGUACGACAUCAAAAUUAUAUAUUUAUCCAUGAUUGAUCAAACUAGCUAAAUGCAUACUAUUUCAUAAUAUAUGUUAUAAUGUAUAUCUUUUUUCUUCGUUGCUUAAUGACAUUUGAACUUAGGACAUCUUUCAAUAAAGUGGAGAUUAAUUGGUUGCUAGUAGAGAUUCAUUGCCUACAAAAAGUAUAUCUUUCUUUUGGGUGGAUGUUCUAGUUGUAAAUUUAACAUUGCUUUAUUUGAUGGUUCAGCAUUGGAAGUCUAGGCAAGGAGCAAGAAGAGGCCGGUGUACAAAAUGUAACAGUUAAAACGGUUACCUUUACUGGUACUCAGAAUGGUCUAAGAAUCAAGUCAUGGGGGAGGCCAAGCACUGGGUUUGCUAGAAAUAUUCUUUUCCAACAUGCUACAAUGGUCAAUGUCGAAAAUCCUAUUGUCAUAGAUCAACAUUAUUGCCCCGACAACAAAGGGUGCCCUGGUCAGGUAAGAUAUCAUUCUUGCUCUAACGGUCAAUUCCCAGAGUUUAAUAUUACAACUAAAUUUUCUCUUCUUCACUUUCAUAGUGUAACGUUUUUGAUAAAAACGUUGGCAUCGCCAAAUUAUAACUGUCUAAUUUCGAAACAUAUCAAAAGCUUUCUUGGGCUUCCACCUAGAAGAGCCAAUAAUUUUAGACCCAAAGCAAAUCCAAUAACUCCUUCUUCCAUGGGCUUGCUCUCCUACUACUUACAAAGGUCGAGCCUUGCCCAUUGUAACCUUUGUAACUUAUUAAUUUCAUUGUAUGUGCAAUGAGAUUGAGGGUUGUAGCUUAAGUGGUUAACAAUAUUUACUCAUGUAUUCGAAGUUCUAGAUUUAAUUCCCCUCUUUUCCAAUACCAUUUUUAUCAAAAUGACUUCAUCGUAGCUUAGCCAAAAAAGCAUUAAACUUCCCAUUAAGCCGAAUUACCAUGCUAUAAUGCUUGUUCACCUUCUGUUUUAUCAAAAGCUGGAAAUCUGACUUCCUAUUGUUUUUUUUCUUUUGUCAAUUUUGUUUUUCGAUAGGUUUCCGGAGUUCAAAUUAGCGAUGUGACAUACGAAGACAUACACGGUACAUCAGCAACAGAAGUUGCAGUAAAAUUUGAUUGCAGUCCCAAGCACCCUUGCAGCGAGAUCAAAUUGGAGGAUGUGAAGCUUACUUACAAGAACCAAGCAGCUGAGUCUUCAUGUAGCCAUGCAGAUGGAACAACUGAGGGUGUGGUUCAGCCUACAAGUUGUUUGUAGAGUGGAAAAAUAUGAACUGCUUGUAGAAGUAUUGAAAUCCAAAAGUUUGCCCUCCAGUACUAAGGACAAAUGAAAAGUGAAUUAUACGAUUUAUAUAGGAAGAAUGAGCUUGUGUUGUUGGCAGCCUACUUGGGCUUCCCUUGAGCCUGGCCGUUCAAUUAGUUUAGUUUGUUCAAACUCGUCCACUUCGAUGGGUGUUUAUGUUAUGAAUUGUUGUAAGAUUAUGUUCGGGAUACGUUAAAUUUAUAAGAUUAAAUUUUAUGUUGAUGGCUAAUGUGGCAUUUGACAUAGGAUUCAAUAUUCUAUCAAUUUAAUUCACAAUUUUAUUAUAAUCGAAGCACACAUUAAAUAGUAAAAAUUUGGUUCAAGAAACAAAAGGAUUUGAAGUCUCGCAUGAACUUUUUGGUUGGAGCAUUUUCUCAUGUCAAAUUUUACCCGUUAAAAAUUUAUUAUGAUAUUUUAACAUUUCGGUUGGAGUAUUUUUUUCAUGUCAAAUUUGACCCGUUAAAAAUUUACUAUGGUAUUUUAGCAUUUCGGUUGGAGAUGUAUAAAUCUUAAAAAUGCAUUCAAGAUGCAUUUUUGUUUCUUAAGCUUUGAGCUUUAGGUAAUUAACUUUAAAUGUUGUUGGGCACCUUGCACUAGUUGAUUAAAGAAAAAUAGACCCGAAGCAAGAUUCCUUGUAGUUGCCAAUUCGAAGUUUUCUUUAUCGCUACAUACUUACUGGUCUACAAGUUCUCUCUCUAAUACAUAAUUUGACAUAAAUAAAUACAGUGAAGAGUGCAUUGACUAAACAGAAAAAAAAACAAAAAAAGCAGCACGUAAGCAAUUACGUGCAUUUGGUGUAAAAGCUAAAGGCCUCUGAUUUAUGUAAGCAGUUACGGUAAUCAUAUUAUAUUAUAUGUAUCUUAGUUCUGCAAUUGUAACAGGAAUAAUAUUGUUUUGUUAUCCCCAAUCAAUAAUACAAUGAUACGUGAAAAAGUUAUUUAACAUGUCAUUGCGUUAUUAGCUGGGGAUAGCAAACAGUGCUAUCCCCAUUACAUGAAAGUCUUUCUCCUGCAUAUCCUAUUAUACUAUUAUAAAACUCAAUUGGUCAAUCAUAGUGAAAAAAAUAUAGUGAAAGAAAAAAGAAGAAGAAGAAAAUAUCAAUUAAGCCCCUCUUAUAUUGAACACUUCAAUAAUAAAAUAAAAAUUGCAUAUGGAGUAAAGUCAGUCAGUUAAGAUAGUAUGCUAGUUCUUUUGCACCUGAGUUCAAUUUCCUUCCCCGAACAUUUUCAAAUAAAUAAUAAUAAAAUAAAAUGUGAAUUUGAUAGUCAAUGUCGUAGUAAAAUAUGGUUUUUUAGUAUCAAUAUUAAGGAAAGCCAUUGUUCUUUCUAGCAGAAUGCCCGCCACUGCUAGAGAGAGAGAGAGAGAGAGAGCGGAAUGGCAGAAGUGAGUAACAAGCAGGUGAUACCGAGGGAGUAUGUCACUGGCUUUCCCAAAGAGUCAGACUUGUACGUGAAUAGCACUGCUACUAUCAAGUUGAAGCUUUCUGAGGCCCCCGAGCAUGAGGGUUCUUCAAAGAAACUAGUUCUAGUGAAGAAUCUUUACUUGUCCUGCGAUCCCUACCAACGACUAUUUAUGGAAAGAAUCGAAGGCCUCAGCAGCCAAUCCACUUCCUCCUAUACGCCUGGUUCUGUAAGCAAAACCCAUCAUAUAUCUUUUCCUUUCAAUUUCUGUAAACAUAUAUACCAAAUGUUAUGCUCAAAUAUAUAUUAAUUGUUAAACAUUGUUCCCUUAAAAAAAACAAUUUAUUGCAAAAUUGGAAUAUACAAGAGGUAACUCUGCACAAAUAUUAAUGACAAGAUGAGGUGGCUAAAAGCACUGUUAAUGUCUAUCAGCGCGCAAUGAGCACGAAUAACUGUGAUUAUUAAGUAGUAGGAGCUGAUAGUUGUUUUUGUUACCACAUCCUAUGCCACAAAUAUUAAUUAUUACCAAUUAUUCUUCUAGUAAUGCUUGUUUUUUUGUUGAUGGCAACAUUGGGAGGAGGGAAUCAAAUACAAGUUUGAUCAUAUGAUUAAUUUAAUUUUGUUGGUGUAAACGUGCAGCCAAUAUACGGGUAUGGAGUGGCUAAAGUUUUGGACUCUGGGCACCCAGAUUUGAAGGCAGGUGACUUAGUUUGGGGGACUACCUAUUGGGAAGAGUACAGCCGAAUCCCUGAACCCGAAGGCCUGAUCAAAAUCCAGCACACUGAUGUACCUCUAUCCUAUUAUACUGGAAUUCUUGGUAACAAGUCAAACCUAUUUUAGAUCAUGAUGAUAUGUGUUGGUUUAGAUACGUAAGUGUAUUUUUUGUAAUUUCAUUUCAGGUAUGCCUGGUUUGACCGCUUAUGUUGGUUUCUAUGAAAUUUGUUCUCCUAAGAAAGGAGAACAUGUCUUCAUUUCAGCAGCAGCUGGUGCUGUUGGUCAGCUUGUUGGACAAUUUGCAAAAUUAAUGGGUUGUUAUGUUGUUGGAAGUGCUGGCAGUAAGGAAAAGGUACGAACUUGAGAAAUCUUUGAACUUCAAAUUAAUAUUAUCUACACCAUUUUUUCUUGUUUGGGUUGUAUUUUGCUGUUGUUAUUUGGGCCAACUUUGGUGUUGGUUUGGUUUGGGGCCUCUGUUUGUGCGCUGGGACUACAAUGAGUGGAAAGUUAUAAGGGGUAAGUUAUAAGGGGUUCACUUUAUAGCCAUCAGAUCAAUCCAAGGGCUGGGGAGAAUUGAGAUAAAGUUUCACAAUUGGGUAGGUGAGGAACCCAAACCCGAAUUGAAUAUCCAGCACGUCCAAAAAGAAGAAGAAGAGGGAAACACGUUCGAAAAAGAAGAAGAAGAGGCAAGUUCGAAGUUUGAACAGAAAGAACUCAUCUCUCUAAAACCCAGAGGUCUGAGAUACCCAAUGAAGGCAACGGCUAACGACAGUUGAAGGCAACGAUUCGCCACUCCGUUCUCCAGACCCUGAAAAAGUAUUUAUUUGGAGUAGAAGGGGCAAAGGUGUGGAUUCCAAAUCAAUGAAGGGGCGAAGCAGUGGAAGGGGAAGGGGAGAAGCUAUAAUCGUUGGAAGUGGUAGGUUCCAUUUGUGGAGCAAAGAAACAGAAAGACCCCACACAGACACCUUGCAAUAACCAGCAUUUGGUGAGUAAUUUAUGGAAUUUGAGUUUAGGGUUAGAGUAAUGGUUUUCCUCAAUUUGUAGCAUAAAUUUUGUUGGAUUUGGCAUCUCUUCGUUGUGCUUGAGUUGCAUGUUAAUUUUUGCUUAGGUAUAUGUUAAAAAAAGAAUGAAAAUCAAGUCAAUAACAAGUGAAUAACAUGUCAAUAAUGAUAUGAAUAAGAUAAUGGUGUUGAAUUGGAGGAGGCCCUCAAAACCUUCCACAUUUGAAGCAGUGCAUAGUGCAGAUUAAGAAGAGGCGGUAGAAUAUAUAUAUAUAUAUAUAUAUAUAUAUUUUAUGAAGUAAAUAUGAUUUCCUUUGUUACUAAAUUUGCCUGAGAAACAUUUGAACAGAUAAUAAUAAACUCAUGAAUAGAAGUGCAAAGCAUUUGAUGAGUAAUUUAAGGAAUUUGAGUUUAGGGUUAGAGUAAUGGUUUUCCCCAAUUUGUACCAUCAAUGUUGUUGGAUUUGGCAUCUCUUAUUUGUGCUUCAAUUGCAUGUUAAUUUUUGCUUGGGUAUAUGUUAAAAAACGAAUGAAAAUAGAGUCAAUCACAUGUCAAUAACAUCUCAAUAACAUGUCAAUAACAUGUUAGUAAUGAUAUGAAUAAGAUAAUGGUGUUAAAUUGGAGGAGGCGCUCAAAACCUUCCACAUUUGAAGCAGUGCAGAGUGAAGAGUACCUCUCUGGCCCUAGAAUUUAUAUAUUUUGUGAAAUAAAUAUGAUUUCAUUUGUUACUAAAUUUGCCUAUGAGAAAUGAGAACAGAUAAUAAUAAACUCAUGAAUAAAAGUGCAAAGCAUUUGAAAUGAAGGUUGAUCUAUGACGAUUGUGGGUGACUGAAGAAAAAGCUAGAAAGAAAGAAGGAUGUGGCAAUUGCUUAGCAAGCAGAUAGCAGAGUAGAUGCUUUGCUUUGCUUCCUUCCACUAUAUUUCUUAUUUAUUUAUUUUGUGUUGUGUAUGAGAUGACAAUAAUUGUCAUGUGUGUGAAGUGCAGAACUUGCCUACAUUGCACUCACACGAGUAUGGAUCCAUAAAUAAAACACGUGAAAUUGUUUGUAAUUCACAUAAUCAUUGCAUUAACAGGUAUUUGCACAAAAUUUGUCAUAUUGCUUUGAUGAUGUUAAAGCCUAUGAUCAGUAAUCCGUAUGCUCAUGUACUUUGUAAAAUUUGUAAUGUGCCUGGUUGACUAGUUGUGAUUGUGCAAAUACGUGGCAGUAUAUGUGUUCACGUUAUUUCACAUUGUAUUUGAGGAAAUGGGAUCCAACGUGGAGCUGGUAUGGCCAGAGGCAGAGGCAUAUUCGUCACGGGUGAACAACUGCUCACAUGCAAAUUCAUCUCUAGCUGCAAUUCGAGCGAAGUUGAGUGCGGAACAAUUAGAACAAUUCAAGACAUCAUGCUUUGGCCAUCUUCUGAAUAUAGAUAAGAUUCAGUUUAGCGGGCAGAUUGUGCAUGGGGCUGUGUUGCGUAGAGUAGCGGGGCAGGGUGUGAAAGACUUGGAUGGACUGAGUUUCUUAUUAGGGUGUGACGUUGCUCAGUUCACUCGUCAGGAUUUCUGUUUGAUCACAGGGCUUCGUUUUGGGGAAGUGCCUGAAGUUUCCAGUGGAGAGAGUGAUGUAAUCAGACUUCAGAAAAGAUAUUUUAUAGACGAAGGAAUUACAUGCAAUGCUUUAGAAGAAGCAUUUAUGGGGUGCACAGAGGAAGAUGACAUCUACAAGCUAGCUCUUGUUUACUUUGCUGAGUUAGUGGUUUUGGGAAGGGACAAACAUUUGAACAUCAAUCUAAAUUACCUGACCCUUGUAGAGGACUUGGAUGCGUUCAACAGGUAUCCGUGGGGUUCGGUGUCCUUUGACAAAACCCAAGACAGUCUAUUUUCUGCACCAACAAAGUAUGUGAAAAGCUUGCAAAAUGAAGAGGGAAGAGGGAAGGGGAAAAGUAAGGUAACGGGAACAAGCCGGAGAAAUGAGAAGGGCAGGAAGGAUAAGCAUGGUGAAGCGCAAAGGAGUGGCUGGAGUUUUAAAGGUUUCACGUAUGCUUUCCAGGUACAUGGUAAUAAUGUUCAUGUGAGUUAUGUUUUGUUUUUCUUUAAAACAUAAAUAAUGACUUUUGUCCUGUGAAUUGUGUAGAUUUGGGUAUAUGAAUUAAUUCCUAGAAUGGCGGACCUGAAUUACUGCAAGGUUGUUGAUCCGACCGCUGUCCCGCGUAUUUUGCGAUGGAGAACUACUACGUCUGUUCCAGAGAUGAGAAAGUUGAACAAUUAUUUUUUCCAGAGCAAAGAGGUUUGGUUUGCAGCCCUUGGAACUAUUGAUAAGAUUGAAUGAAAUUUUGAAGUAGAAUGAUUUAAUAUGACUGUGGUUUGUAUUCUGAAACAGUCAGUUCAGUUGCGGGCGCUAUGUCCGAGUGAAGAGGAAAUGAGACAGCCAUAUUGGAGUUGGCCACAGGAUCGCCCUGAUGAGACAGCCAUAUUGGAGUUGGCCACAGGAUCGCCCUGCUGUUGUCUCGGCAGAGUCAAUUCCUUCUUUAUGUGGUGAUCUUGAUCAGUUGAACAAGGUGGUAAGCUUGUUGAGGUCCGAGUUGUUUCAAGUAAAGCGGGAAAAAGACGUCCUUCACUUAAAGGUCAUACGGAUGGAAAAACUGUUGGACCAAUGUUUAGGUCCUCAGUUUGAGCAGGAAGUAAGGAGGGACCUAGCUUUACUGAAACAGAGGACGAAGCGUUGUGUCGUCUCACAUCUAUUUAGGGGAUAUCGGGAAUUGGAUGACAUUCAAUGGGAUGAAGGGCCAAGUAACAGAAAUGAGGGAGAGGAAAAGGAAGAUGAAGGGAUUGAAGGGGGUGAAGGGCCAAGUAAUAGAAAUGAGGGAGAGGAAAAGGAAGAGGAGGGGAUUGAAGGAGAGGAAAAGGAAGAGGAGGGGAUUGAAGGGGGUGAAGUGCAAGGAAUACCAAGUGAGGUAGAGGAAGGGCAAAGGAAAAGAAGUGAAGGAGAGCAAGUGCAAGUAAAAAGUAGCAAAGGAGAGGAAGCCCAAAGACAGAGCAGUGAGGGAGAGGAAGUGAAAAGAAAAAGCAGUAAGGGAGAGAAACUGCAAAGGAAAAAAAGGGAGGGCAAGGAAGUGAAAACACAAAGAAGUGAGGAAAAGGAAGUGCAAAGAAACCAAUGUGAGAAAGAAGAUAAUGAAGUUAUGUUGCUUGGGGAUGACAUUGGCGAGAGCACGGAGGGGACACUGCUUGAGUUUACUGUCGGGGACAUUGAUUUGGAUCAACCUACAGCUGUGCUAUCUCAGUUGAACGUGUGGUUGAAUGAUAAAGGUAAAGCUGUGGCACAAGGGGUCCAAUUACGGAAAAGGAAGAGGAUCAUUCCUAUGUGGAAGAUCAUUGAAGGCAUUGAAUUGGUUCCAAAAACUGGGGCACAGACAACCGGACUGAAGAUGUUAGACCCAAUGAAGGCGAUUCCGCAUGAUGAUCUGGUGAAUUUGCUGAAACUUUGUUGGGAAUGGCGCCAGGACCCAAAGUAAGUCCCUUGCAAUUAUAAGAUAGAAGCACGACUGUAUAUAAUUUUUAAUAUACAGUGUUCUAAAACUGUUUUAUAUUCAUAGUUUAGUGAUGCAAUUUGGCAACGUGGAAGCUGAGAUUGAAUUCUUCGCUUCCCUCGUGAAAGCUGAUGGUUGGCUGAAAGGAGAUGUAAGUGUAAUUGAUUAUGCAUUUGUUUUAAUGUAUAUAGAUUAUGAGAUUGACAAGAACAACAUGUUGCAGCACAUUGAGUUGGGGUUGUAUCUCAUCCGGAAGCGACAACAACAGUUUGAGGAAGUAGAAAUAGCGGACUGGACAACGACAGAUGUUUUUUUUAUGGUAUGUCAUCGGCCUUGACCAAGUGCCGUUAAUAAUUACACAUUUUCCAUACAGACAAUAGUGGAGGUGUUUAACCAUUGAUUGUUUUGUAUUUCACAGAAUCACAUUCGAACUUGCUUUGCGGAUAAUAAAAGAAAAAAACAGCAGCUUGGGUGGAAAAUCAGAAAAAGUUUACUAAACGUUGUAAAUGGGAAGGUUCCUCCGUGUGGGAUGGAUUGGCAGAACGUCUAUACGGUGUAUACCCCAGUUAUGUUGACGAAGUACAAGCAUUGGGUGGCUGUAAUGAUUGAUCUGGUAUUGUGUGAAAUCAAAGUGUACGAUUCAAAGGUUUCACUAAUUCCAGAUGACAUCGUAAAGGAAGAACUCGCCCCGCUAUCAAUUAUGCUUCCAAAUCUUCUCAACACCAUCGACUUUUAUGAAGAAGGUGUUUAUGCAAACAAUUGCAUGCGAGAUUGGUGGUGUCCGUGGCCAAUAGAGCGUGUGGAUGUUCCACAACAGUCUAAUGAGUAAGCACAACUUGCAAUUUAAUUUUAUUACUUUCAAUUGUCAAUUACGUUAGAAUGUCAUUAGUUGAAUUGAUCGAGUUCUUGUUUUGCUUCAGAGGCGAUUGUGGCAUGUUUGUGUUAAAGUACAUUGAGCUUAUCAGCGCUCAGCUUUCGUUAGCUAUUUGCACCUCGCACAACAUGCCUUUUUUUCGGUUGAAAUUGGCUGCGGAGAUAACAAGGGGAGAUGCUUACUUCCCAUGAUAUUGGUUGAAGAUGACAAAUGGUACAUGAGAAGGUUUUGGGAAUGUCCAUUCUCAAACUAAUGUAAAUACACAAUAGAGACGUACGUGUCCUUUUCGAAUUCUACCGCUAACUCCUUCAUGACAUUUACAUGUUUGUUAACCAAACUGCAUUGAAUUGGAAUUUUAAGACUGCAUAUGUUAAUUGGGAUUUGAAGAUGGCUUUUUAAGUGUAUUACACCAUUGCAAAGUGAUAUGUCAUUGUUGAUGCAAGCCACCAUUAUUCGCAAUGAGUUGCAUCAUAAUAGGUGUGUAAACAUGCGAAAGGUUUUCGGCAGCUCAGUAGCAUAAAAGUAGAAACAAUUACAAUAUACACAAAAUGAACAACAAUUCACUUGCGUUUGGACAAGCAAUACAGACACAACAGACAAACAAUAUACACAAAAUUGGCCUGCCAUAUACAGACAUACACACAGUAGACAUGCAAUAUACACACAGUAGACAUGCAAUAUACACACAAUAGACAUGCAAUAUACACACAAUACACAUGCAAUAUACACACAAUACUCCCUUAACACACACAAUAGACAUGCCCUUGCCCACAAUAAUGAUGCAAUAUACUUCAGUCCCCAAGUACACCAACCAUAAGGAAGUCGUAUUGAAUAGGAUAUUAAACUUAACAGUUGUUCUUCCUACUAAAAGAAAGAAUAACGUCCGUUUCCCCCCUUCAUUCUUACUUCAGUGAUACUUGUGGCCCCAAUAAACAUCCAAUAUUGGGUCAAGGAUAUUCCAUAUACAUGCAGCAAACUAUCAAUAAACCUUCAAUAAACAUUCAAUAUCGGUUCUAUAACAUGCGAAAUACAUGCAGUUAACAAAUAUUACAAAAUGGGUUUAGGGUCUCAUUGGUGGUGCGUGCAACAUGUCUUGUGCGGAAGAACUUUCACAAUCUUUGAAACCAUGCAGUUAAAUGAUCCUUAAAAGAACAAAUAAAAUGACAAUUGAUACAACUAAUAAAACUAAUACCAAGUCCUUAAUGGACUUCAGCAUGUUCAGCACUCUAGCAUCAUACGUGUCAUCUUGAUGUUCUGCUUCAGCGGAGGUUACAUCAACCCAUUCGAAUCCAUUGCAACUGGUGGCUCCCUAAUUGCAGGCAUCAUAUAUGGAAUAUAAUUCUGUUAGAGUUAGACAUGGGUUUAUUUUGACCCACAUACAUAUUAUUGAAAUUAAAACUUACAUAGGAGGUUAGACACUUCCAGAAUGGCUUCCCUCGAUUUUUGUCAGAUUUUGAAACCCGAAGCACCAUUGUAGCUCCACAAUACUGACACCUCUUUGUUUGAGCAGGAGAUGAAGACGAAGACAUGUUGAAUCUUCUCAGUUGUACCUCUUCUCACUCAGAUCUUCUCACUGAAACCUCUUCGGACUCAUACCUUCUCACUCAUCGUUGUCAUUCAUACCCCUUCACUCAUAACCCUAAACUUGUCACUCAGCUCUCUCUCAUCUCUGCCCAAAUCGAGUUAUAUUUCUUUUUUUUGGGAUCAUUUGGUGGGUUGGUCACGAUCUCGACACCCGUACCGUCGGCAUUGCGACAUCUUUUAGCCCGAAAAGCAAUAUAAACUACUUCACUACCAAAUAUAUUUUCUGAAAAAUGAGGGGACACUGCUUCAAAUUUAUUAUUUUAUAUAUAUUUCAUUAAGGCAACUAGUUGGAUAAGAAUCCGUCAUUAUUGGUUCCAUUUGAAUAACAUUACUAGGGGUAGUUGGGUGUGGGAAAAUGAAAAAGUAUAUGAUGGGACCUUCUGUCACUACUCAGUAAUCCAUCACAUUUGUAUCAAUGAAUUUGAUAGUGGGAUAAUCCCACAAAUGGCUAUGCAAAUAGCCAUUUAAUGAACUUUUUGACUGUCUGACUCUGUAUGCACCGUUAUGACGUUUUCCCUUCUUUUGUCUUCAGUUUUAAUUCACUUGGGUUCAGUUUCUUUAAAAAUGGUCAACUUGGAAAAACCCCAACUGGAAACACCUUUUCAAAACACUAUAAACAGAGGCUAAAACAAAACGUGUACCCCAAAUAUUCUCAUUUAUCCCCUCUGCCACUCCUCAAAUCGUUCCAUUCCAAAAACUUUUCAAUGAAUUCGAAACACUUCACUACAGUCGGAGGAAAGAGAAGGAAGCAUCUCCAUUUCGAUAUGCCCGAAGCCUUCAUCCCGGAGUCCGCUUGGUUUCAAGUGAUGUUAUACGUGGCAACCGAAUCAUCGGAAGAUCUCUUCCGUAUGGCAUCUGUGUGCCCAUUGUUCCAAACUUUGGCAAACAGUCCACAAGUGUGGAACACCAUUUCAAUGGCAAAGUACCCACACCAUCCUAGCUGGUACCGUGCCAGACCUGCGGUCCAGCAUUUCUUGCAACAAUGCAGGGCUUGCGAUAACCCUGAGUCGAUAUUUAGAGAAGCAUUCGAUAUUUUUUUCAGGGCCAGUAAGGUGGAAGCGUUGUAUGGGAUGCGCAUUGCAGCCACGGCAGGCCAUAUGGAAGCGGCAUAUGUAGUUGGACUACUUGGUAUAUCCGGAAUUGGUCAGUCAAAAGAGGAUGCAUUACAAUUCUUGUGUUCUUUGAAUCAACGUAACAACAUUGAUAUGAAAGGAACCAGGGAUGCUUUGACACGAAGAUUAACCGGACCAAGAGUUGCAAGACAUAUCGUAGAUAUAUUUGACUAUGGGAAGAUUAAGUUCAAUCGCUGCAGCACUUGUAACAACAAUGAAUGGUAUUUUGUUAUUCAAGGCUGGCCUAGUGAAGACAAGAUAAAUCCUGCCUUCUAGACUUGUUGCAAUCGAUGCAAAUGGCACCGUGAGAGUAUUUUUUGGUUCAAACUGAUGCGUGAGUAUGUUGUGCGAGGGAAUCAUGUAUUUUUGCAUUAGUUUUAGUACGAAUUUACGGUUUUGAUGCAUUGUGGACUUACUUCUCUUCACUUCUAGGUUGGCUGGCUACGUUGUACAAAUGUUGUUUAAAUGUUGUUUAAAUGUUGGUAUUUUGUCAUAAACCGUUUUAUAUAUAAAUGUAUAAUAUUUAUUAUAUAGCGGAAUUAUUACUUACAUCAUAGACGGCUACGAAUGACAUUUUACUGACACAGAUAUUUUGCUCACCCACCCCAAUAUUCAUAUUUGGUAAACGAAAAGUCAUGCAUGGAGUAAAUAGGUGUCUUUUCACCAAUGCUUGGGAAUGACAUUUUCCCACUUAGCAUAUUCGACAGGAUUUGGUUACACGUUUCUUAAGCAAAAGUUGAACAGUGAAUGACGUUGAAUAAUUUGUUUGUGUGGAAGGAGUACAAUGGAUGACUUGUAUAUUUCCAUAUUAUGUUUGAAAACAUCCCUUCAACCUAAAAAAUAAAAAAAUUAACAAAUUGAAGAACAGAGAAACCGAUGAGCACUACAAAUGGCCUAUUCGCACGGAAAAUAAAAUUGUUUUAAACAAGUUGGACUAAAUAUAAUUAACAAAUGGACAGCCUAAAAAGUAAUAUCAUAAUAAUUAUAAUAAUUGUGGAUUAAUAAUAAUAAAAUACUAAUGUAGCAUAACCAUGAAACAGGGAAUUCAGUAGGAAGAUGAAAUCUCAAUAAGUUCGUUGAAAUGUUCGGAUCGUUUUUCUAAUUUUUGUGUAUUUAGUUCUGAAUUUUCCAAGAAAAAAAGUAAUUAAAUAAUAAUUUAGGGUAAAAUGGGAUGAUGUGGCCAUGUUGACUGACGUACACUUGUGCAAGUACUCAUAAGUGAGGGGCUGAGAUCGCGCCAGGUGUCUUCUUGGAAUUAGGGUUGGCUAUUUUAGUGGAAAAAUCCUUGAAAAUAGGUAAAAAAUAGUAGGAAAUUCCUAUUCUAGGUUGGGAAAAUUACCCGCGCCUCCUUGUGACGUCAUAAAACUAGGAGAACCUAUAAAUCAUCCGUCUCGCAAUGAAAUAAUCCAAAAUGUUUUACAUAACUCACUUCCCUCUUUACCCUAAGUAUUGAUGUUUGUUAACUUGAACUUCAAUAACCUACUUCAACAAGCAUCUCCCGUUAAUGUUGGGAAUAAUUGUCUAAAAUGCGUAACAAUGAAUCGGAGAAUUCAGCAAGGGAGAUGGAGUGUCAAUGAGUUCGUAGCAAUUUUCGGAAAUAAUUUUGAAUUUUUGUGUAUUUAGUUAUGAAUUUUGUAAGACAAAGUAAUAAAAUAAUAAUUUAGGGUAAAAUGGGAGGAUGUGGCCAUGUUGACUGACGUACACUUGUGCAAGUAGUCAAAAGUGCCGGGCUGAGAUCGCGCCAGGUGUCAUCUUCUUUUCAAUUUUGGAUUCUUUUGUUAAAAAAUCUUUGAAACUAAGUAAUAAAUAGUAGGAAAAUCCUAAAAAUGCCCCCAAAAUUACUCCGGCCUACUUGUGACGUCAUAAAACUAGGAGAACCUAUAAAUCAUUCGUCUCGCAAUGAAAUAAUCCAAAUUGUUUUACAUAACUCACUUUCCUCUUAACCCUAAGUAUUGAUGUUUGUUAACUUAAACUUGAAUAACCUACUUCAACAAGCAUCUCCCGUUGAUGUUCGGAAUUAUUUUUAAAAAUGCGUAACAAUGAAUCGGAGAAUUCAGCAAGGGAGAUGGAGUGUGAAUGAGUUCGUAGCAAUUUUCGGAUAAUUUUUUUAAUUUUUGUGUAAUUAGUUCUGAUUUUUGUAAGGAAAAGUAAUAAAAUAAUAAUUUAGGGUAAAAAGGGAGGAUGUGGCCAUAUUGACUGACGUACACUUGUGCAAGUAGUCAUAAGUGACGGGCUGAGAUCGCGCCAGGUGUCCUCUUGCUAUUAUUUUGGCUUUUUUAGUGCAACAAUCUGUGGACAUAGGUAAUAAAUUCUACGAAAAUCCAAAAAAUGCCCGGAAAAUGAGAAAAUGAAAAUUAUUUGUACAUAACUCACUUUCCUCUUAACCCUAAUUCACGUGUAACACGUAUAUUUCGGAUAAUAUUCGAUAUAUAAUUUGUAAUAAUACAAUAUUUAGUUUCACUAUAUACAAUAAUAUGUUUUGUUAUAAUAAUGUACAUAAAUAAUAAUUGCACAUGCUUUGAAGCCAUCAUUGCAACUACGCCUAGAGCUUUCAAGACGUCAGUUCGUAUUCAAUAAGUUGUCCACAUGCAAGUGCACCUACAGUUUUCAACACGUCAGAGGUAUUCAAUAAGUUGUCCACAUGCAACUGCACCUAGAGUUAUUAACACGUCAGAGGUAUUCAAUAAGUUGUCCAUAUGACGCCGCAUUGGGAAUCAGUAAUAUAUUUUCAAUCAUGUCCAAUCACAUAAAAUAAUGGCAUACUUUUUCUCAAUAACCUCACACAAGUGAAGCAAUUUUAAAACCCUUACUGAAUAUUUGUCCUAGUCUAUAUGAGUGAUUAUAUAAUCAGUCUGCAUUUUUUUCACAGUAUAUGUUAACUUUGAGAGGGAUUCCACAAACAUAAAAUAUAAAGAAAGCAAGAAAUAGUAGGAGAUGAACCAGUAGAAAAAACAAUAUAUAAAUGGUACAUAAUAAUUCCAUAACCUUGUCACAAACGCACUCACAAAAGCUUUUCCAUAAACCUUGUCCUAACAUAUAAUAAAUAAAGGCAACAUUGCAUAUGAUGCAACCAUGUCCAAAUCUGAUACGUGAUCAAAAACAAAUGGACAUGGCAGCAACAUAUGACUGAAGUAGAUGGGCUCUUUGCAUCUUGUGUUUUCGUAAUUAAAGACAUCAAAAUAUUAAGGUUUAAAUCUUCCAUAGUAGUUAGCAUCAAAAUAGCUUUGAAGCAGAGUGUAAAGAAAAUUCCAAUUCCACUGAUUUGCCUCUGCUCAAACACGAGAACCAAAAUGGUUACUUCCCUUGCUGAGUAUAUUUGGUGACGUCGGAAACGGUAAUAGAUGAUCAAUCAAACCCAGGUACGACGAGUUUUGCAUAGGAUCGGAAGUAGUCGAAUCCAGCUUGCAUCACACGCUUCUUUGACUCCACUGCAUUAGAUGAGUUCUUGUAUUUUUGAACAGCUACACUCCGAAGUCGUUUGUGUCUACGCUUCAUGCGCUGCAACUUCACCCUAUCCAGAUUGGCCUGCCUUUUGUCAUCUUCAAUUUGGCCUUCAACAAAUUCCAAACGUGCCCUUGCCCUUUGGAUUUCAUCACCAAGUUGAAGAUGCCUCUCCUUCCAAAAAGCAACAACUCUUUCAGACUCAAAACUUCCAACAAAAUGGUCAUUCUGUCUAGGAAUGUGACAUUGCUUGUCUGGUGACUCACUUGCGUGUCGAAGGCGGUCUUUGUUUGGAGGGGUGUUUAUUAUGCUCACAUCAAACUUGGUUAGUAAAUCCAUUCUUUGGGGGGAAUGAGUUUGUUUGCUUGAGAGAGUAUCAGUAGAUGGAGACAGAUUCGGUGGAGGAGUGAGUUUUGUGUGGAAGGAGAAUUUAUAUGAAAGGGGUGAUAGUAAUACCAAGAAAAGGGUUCCCGCCAAAAAAUAUUUGGUUGAGAAUGUAUAAAUUAAUUUUUGGUCUGAUACAAUCUAAGUUGAAUCCUAACUAGUUUGGUUGAGUUAACUAAGUAGAUGUCACUUCCAUUGAGUUUCUUUCAACCACUAUCAGUGGUGUCAGGAGAGUGUGAGGUUGACAUGCUUGAAAAGCAAAACCUGACACCUAUUUUUAAAAAAUUCCAUAAAAAAAGUACAUAUGUUGACUACACACAAGCUUUGGUAUGUUGGUCUAUAAACCUAUGUUCCCUUUCUCAAACGAAAUUGCAUAUGCAAUCCUCAUCCUCCCAAAACAAAGAGGAUUAUUCAAGCAUGUCAACCUCUUCAGGCGCCAACAACACAAUCGAAGAUGACAAAUUGGAGUCGCAGGUUCUAUUUCCACAUUGUACUCGCCGACCCCUUCCUUUUUCAACAUCAUUUGGGAGUGAGGGGGACUCCGAUGAUCCAUUAGAGGCAAUACAUGCAGUCAGUGGCAAGCUGGAUUAUAAUUCCAGACUGAUCAAUUCAUGGCACGAGAAAUGUGUUGAAGACGAGGCAAUUUUGGCUGAUCUUAACAUUAGAGUGAACAAAGCGUUCUCCCAAAAGAACAAGUACUUGAAGCUGAGUCAUAGCAGGAAGCUGAAAGCUGAGGAGUUGGAUACAGUAAUGAAUGAUGAAAUGAAAGGUUGUUUGCUGAACCACAUGCGAUGCGAAGAGCACCAUAGUGAACUGGAGUUGGCAUUCAACGAAGGAUUCGACAAAUUUCGAGCAUUUGCGGCAACUACUCAUACAAGUUAUGAUUGGAACUAUGUGUCCCCUGAUGCUGUGAGAGAGAUACUAGACGAUGGGGGUGACAUGAAUGAGCAUAAGCACGUCAAAGCUGCUCGGAAGAAGCCGACCGAUACGACUAAGUGAUUGCGGCUACCGCUGUUCAGUUGGUUGAGGGUGACCGUGGUAUUGCACAUAUACUCCCUUAAUGUCAUUAUCUAAUUUCAAAUAACACAAAUAUCAGUUUCAUUUGCUUCAUAUAUAAUUAUUGGGACUAUGUAUUGCAAGUCAUCAUGUGUUAUAAUGUCUAACAUUAUAUUUUGCAAAUAUGGAAAUAUUAUUCAAUAAGCAGUCAAUAUCACAGCAAGCCGGGAAUCAGUAAAUGCUCCUUAUCAUGUCCAUUUACAUUAAAGAGCUGGCGUACUAAUGUGUUCAAAAAAAACUGAGACGUGAGUCAUAAGUAACAUAACAUGUGCUAUACAUUGUUUACUGAAUGGUUUAUGGUUUAUUUUUAUAUAAUAAAAUUCCAAAUAUUGCUGAAGAUUUAUUUCGUCUAUAUGACUAGGGAUAUGAGUGGCCAUAAGCAUGUGAGACCUGCUAAGAAGAAGCUGACGAGUACGACCGAGUGAUUGUGGCUACCGUUGUUCAGUUGGUUGGGGAGAUCGUGGUAUUGCUAAGAGGGAGCACAUAAUAUGUUUUGCAAUCAAAUGUUCUUUUGUGUGUGGAAUUAUGAGUAUUUAUGUAAGUUAGUGUACCCUUUAAUAUUUUUCACCUAAGUAUCGAAAUGUAAUUAGCUGCAAUGUUAUGUUUCAUUUUUACACGCUGCUUUCUAUUUGCUCUGUUCCAACAAAGUGCUUCAAGUAUCCUUCAGUUACAAAAGUGUACAAAAUCGUGCCCCUAAUAACCAGUCGUCAAAAGUGGCUACUGCUGGAAAUGAUUACUGGUAAUGGAAACAACAGCUGGCUGCUGGAAAUGCUGCAUUAGCCUGAGGAUUUGAAAAAUGAAUCUCUGUUAAAACAUAAUUCACCCUAAACUGCCCAUUUUACAUGGUAAAGGUCAUUGCUUCUUCACAUAACUACAAAUUUCAUACUUGAUCAAAUGUCUAUGAAAAUUUAUAAAUAGGGAGAAGACGUAAAAUUAACAUGUCUCCAAAUUUCAUGGAAGAAUGAAACCAAGGAAAUUUUCAUUUCAAUUACCAGUGGACAUAGUAAGAGCUCAUCGGUGGACAUGAACAAAAACACAAUAAUAUUCAAAAACUGAAUCUAUAAAACUUCACCUGAUCAUUAAUCUUCAUAACAACCACAUUUCGUCUAAUACAAAUAUAAAUCAUUUAGUUGGUCCGUGCAUCCUGUCAAAAUCGUCGAAUAAUGGGUCACUACGAUGUAUUGGAGUUGAUUCGUCAUUGUUCGACGGUGAUGUCCUGCAUAAACAUCAAACACAAGCACAUAAAAAUUUUACCUUUUCAUAUUUUAGAUGUUAUUACAACUAGUGUUAGCAUCUUACGGUGUGUUCAAGGCUGGGCAUUGUCUUCUAUCAUGACCAAUGUGUCCACACUCCCGACAGUGUCUAAUCCCUCGCUUCAUUGCCUUUUCCUUUGCUCCCGUUACUCCUUUCGACCUUCCUUUGCACCUCACUCUCUUAGGGUCUUUCAUAUAUUGUGUUUGAGAGCUGGACCCUCCAACUUCGUUAUUACUUAGUCCAUCCUUCAGCAACUUUAACUUCACCUGCAAACUUUUUAGAGUCUCUGACAGUAGCUCACAUCCUUCUUCACUCAUUAAUGCAUCCUCAACCACAUCUGAAGCAAGUCGAGACAUUGUACUCCGCUUUAUUAGAAGGCCAGGAUCUGCACAGUCUUUAAUUUCGUUGCCAUUUGCAUCUGACACCAUUCCAGAUUUCGCAGUUUUCUUCCACCUCUUCAAAAUAUAUUUAUCGGGCAUAUAUUCAAUCUGGUCCCUUCUGAACAAUGCUAGGAUGUGCUUGCAAAUAAUUCCAACAAAUUCAAAUCUUUUGCAGCUACACGAUGCGUGGUCAGAAUCUUUGACAUAUACGACUUCUGCCACUCUUGUUUCCCAAUUUUUCCUUUCGCUCACGUUAAAGACAACUUUACAAGCAUCCUCUGUUUUGAGCUCUAGGAAACAUGCUGUACUUUGUAUUAGUUCUUGCUCAAACUUUUGAAACAUUGUCCUUGUGUACAAGGUAGCCAUUUGUUUGUUCAUUGGCAUCGGUAGAAGACAUUGAGCCACUUCAAAUGCAUCUACGUGAUCAGCAACUAACUCUUUUUCACGUUGAUGAGAAAGUGCCCUCUCAAAUCGUAUUAUGAAAUCCAUCAACGAAUUUCUCCUUGAUAUGUAUUGCUUGAAAAAACCAUGAGAACCUUCCGCUCUUUGGCUGCUUGACAUUCCAGCGGCAAAAAAUUGUCGUGCGUAGGCUGGAACCCAAGAUUCCCUUAAAUCAAACAUUGAACUUAGCCAUGGAUGGUCGGUCAAACCAGCCUUUGUAACCACAAUAUUCCAUUUUGCAUCAAACUCAUCCUUAUUGUCAGUAUCCCAUAUGGCUUUCUGAAAUUCACGCCAAUACUCCUUAUAAGCGUCACGUGGUAACUUAACAGAGAACUUUGAUGUGAUGUGCCAUAUGCAAAGUCGAUGAAAUGUACUCGGGAAGGCUAUUGAAAUCGCUAUGGCCAUUGCCGCAUCUUGAUCUGUAAUGAUCGUUUUAGGUUCCCCACCUGGCAUGGCUUUCUUAAACUCCUCAAACAUCCAAACAAACGACUCAGUCGUUUCCUUGCUCAAAAAUGCACAUGCUAAGACAAUUGUUUGACCAUGGUUAUUAACUCCCAACAUUGGUGCAAAUGUCAAGUCGUAUCGAUUCGUGUUGAAUGUGGUAUCGAAUACAACAACAUCUCCAUAAAACCCAUACGCCCGUCUAGAAGUUGCAUCUGCCCAAAAACAUCGACUAAACCUGUCAUGCCCAUCUCCCUCAAUCUUGAAAUAAAAAGCCUCAUUUUUUUUCUGUUCAGCCAUAAAAUACUCGGUCACUAGUUCAACAUCGUGGUUCCUCAGCUUCCCAUUCACACUACAUUCAAGAUUGUAGAUAUCUUUUUUGAUAAAACCGAUUUUAUCCAUUCCUCCGGAUUGCACCUUGAAAAUACUUACCUUAUGAUGAAUGGGAAUAUUAACUGAACCCAACUGUUUUGUGAGUACUUUGUAGAAUCUGAAAUAUGACGGUGUGAUCUCAAUAAAUGCAUUCUUUCUGAGGGUGUCAUCUUAUGAUUGUGUCCCUCUGCAAAAAGAGAUAUGGUAUACUUCUUGCUCCCAUUUGUCUUCACAACCACAAUCUUAGCUUUGCAAUUGCAUCUACUUAUUCCCCGUUGUCUUUUUCUCUCCCGAGUUUCAUCCUUCCUGUAUGCACCUUGUUUGCAACAUACAAAUUCUUUCCUCAAAAUCUCUUUCUUAUUUUUCCCCCAAAAGCUAGAAUGAAGUCGAAUACCAAAGCCAGCAAAGAAUGCAUAUCUAUUAUAGAAAUUGUAAACGAGGUCAAGCGAGUCAAACUUCAUCCCAACUGCUGGUGUUUCCUCAUUUCUUACUUCAGGAAUAUAAACCCUCCCAUUAGCUGUUGCACAUUCAUCACUCUCUGAGCCCCCAGACAUUUUAUCUACGUAUAUUAUUGAUCCACUUCUAUAUUACUGCAUAGCAAUUAUUCAUUCAUUAAUCAGUCAUUACUGCAUCACAACAUAUCAAUGCAUUCCACUUACACAAAACAUUGCCCAAAUUGACACAAAAUACGCAUAGCCUAACUUCCGAUUACACAAAACGCAAGCAAAAUUUCAUAAAAGUUACGUCAUCUCUUGUGAAAUAAUCUGGUCAAAAUAACAUUAGAACCAACAUGUUCAACUAAGAACACAAAUGUAAUUCAAACCACCAAUUACAGAACUUCACCCAAUAUCCUCUCCAACUGCUUACUCCUAAUGUCAUUAAGCCUAAGUUUAGGUUCUUUUACCUACAUUUCAUAAUUUUCCACCCCGACCAACAACAAUGAACUAAGAAUAUUGAAUAUUCAUAAGGAAAUGACACAUUAUUGAUGCCACAAAUGACGAAUUUCCCACCCUCACAAAAGAUAAACCUAACCCAAUAAAAUCAAUCCAGCAAGUGAACUUACCUCUCAAAAUCAAUCGGGAGCUCUGAAGUCAGUCAGCUUGAAAGAAUGUGGUGGACAUUACAGAAGACUCUUUGGUAUUUGAGACUCCAUCUCUACCAAAAUCGAGGAACAACUGCUGCUGCGGCUUCUAGCUACAAAAACAGAUAUGCUACUUUGCUUUCAUCUGGAAUCUUGUCAGCUGAAUGAAAAAGAGAAGGGGUUUUCACUUGAGCCAUAGAAUCAAAACAGGGCAACAGCUAGGUAAGAGCCAUUCUUCGUAAUACCCAGGAUACCAUAGAUCGCAGGCCUCCCAACGAGCUAAUGACAGUCGAGUGACUAUAAGGUUUGGGAGAUUUGGAUCCUUCUAAUUGUGGGUUUGCUUUACAUUCAAAAAGAAAGGAUUGUGUUCUUCAGUUUUUCACAGAGAGGGAAAGAGGGGAACAACUGAAGUUGGGUUUCUAACGGGUUAGAUUUCAACCCGAUUCUACAUGCACCCUCUUUUAAAAACUCACCGUUGGAUGAAAUCCAACGGCUCUUACAUGCCCCUCAAAAACACCCCUUAUAACUUCCCACUCACUAUAGAAGCUCCCCUGUUUGUGUUGUUGAAUUGGGUCUUUUAGUUGUUUUUGUAAACUCUGAUUUAAGUCUAGUUUGGUAUUGCUGUACUUUUAAAAAAAACUACUUCCGCUGUGCUGCUAGAAUACUCAGCUGUAAAAAAAAUUAGUUAUGCUUUUGGUAAACUAUAUUUGAAAAAGUGCUGUGAGUAAUCCAAAUGUUUGGUAAAUGACCAAAAAAAAGUGCUUUUAAUACGUACAAUGACUAAAAAGGACAUGAUGAUGGAACUAUUUGAUUUUUUCUUCAUUCUUUUUCUACUUAAAAAAAACUUCACUACAUAAUUUUUUUUUCUUUUUUUAUUUAUACUAUACACGUGUUCCUCUCUUCUCAAAAAAGUAAAUGCCUUUUGUUAUGUAUUGAAUGCUAACCCAACGACACCAAUUGGAAACCCAACACAGCCCAUCUCUCCACUUCAAUUUUUCUCUUUCUACCAUUUACAAGUUUUUUUUCUUCAUUCCUUCGUCUAACCAAAAAUAUCUCAUGUUUCCCCCAAUUAGUUUUAGUACUUUUGGGUAGGUGAGACUGAAAAGGGGAAAAAUUGUAUGUUGGGUUUAUGUUUUGGUGUUCUUGCAAUGGGAGAUAACAUAGUGGAGAAAGUAGCCAUGGUGAAAAUACAGAUUUCUGGGUUGCAGCCAUGGAGAUUUGAGCUGAUUUACAGUGCUGUAGUGGGGGUAGUUGAAGCCCCCCCAAAGUUGGGACUACUGCAACAGGAUCUUUCCACCCAAAACCAAAAACAAGAACAACAAACUCAGGUGGAACAUGAAACUCAUCACUCUCUCUCUUCCUUCGACUCGGGUUUUCUCUCUUCUUCCUCAAACCUGCGACAAAUAGAAAAACCCCCAAUUUAACAGAGAAAACUCUAGAUGCAGAAAGUUUGAGAAGUAGAAAACCAAAAAACCAUAAUUGUAAUUAAGUUAUUGAUGAAUGGGCAACCUUCUUAGCAAUUAAUUUUUUGAUGUCCACAAUGAGAGUUCCAGCAGCGUCAGAGAGUAGAGAAGGAAAUGAAGGAAAUAGAGUUCACAGAAUGGAGAAGAAAAAAGGGGCAAAAGACCGUCAAUUUGUAAAAUAAGUGAGGGUAUUACGGGAAAGUUAAAAGUUCAUUAAAACAACCGGUUAAAUUUUUUUUGAAGCAGCUUUUAAAAGCUUGGUAGAGACGGCUUCGAAAAAACAGCGAUCAUUGACUGCGAUUUUAAAAAAAAGCAGGAUUCCUGAUGUUUUCCAAACACCCAACUCAUGAAAUUUUUUUAUUAAAGCUGCUUUUUAAGAAAAUUAAACGCUGCCAAACACCACCUUAACCAUUUUCUUUGCGUGUGCCAAAUUUAUAAUUUUGACCAGUGUCAUGCAGGAAAAUGUUUCAUGCUUUGUUAACAGGGGGCUUUCGAUGAGUAUUUUAUUUAGAUGAAAAGUGAUUCAUUCCUUUCCUUUAUGGAUUCAUCUUGUUAGGUUGAUCUAUUGAAGAAUGAGCUUGGAUUUGAUGAGGCUUUUAACUAUAAAGAAGAGGCUGACUUGAAUGCGGCUUUCAAAAGGUGCAUAUGAGUAAUGAUAGAGAGAUUACAUUUAUAAACCCUAGCGGACCAUGAAUAUAAUGAGUCUUAAAUCUAUUAGACAAUUGGUUAGUUGACAGGUGGUAUACAAAGCAGUCUACAAAUGUGAUCUCCCUAUCAUUUUCCGUAAAAUACAUAUUUAUUAUGUUAUACUAGUUUCCUUUAGUAAGAAAAGAAAGGAAAAAAACUAUUAUUAAGAAUUUGUGUGUUGUUAGGGUUCAUCAUUGGGCUGGGCCAACUCAAAAAUUUUGGGUUCGAGCCGAGCCCUCAUGGGCCGAAAUGGGCCAGACUUUUUGUUAAAAAGUCUUUUCAAUCUUUUUGUUACACAUUUCGUUUUUUCAAAAGUGAUGGAUAUAGAGUAUUCUCUUAAACAAUAGUAUAGAUUACUACAUAAUUUAAGAAAACAAAAAUAUAAUAGCCAAACUUUUUUACUAAACCUAGACCAAUAACCAAUAUAUUUAAAAAAUAUUAUACCUAAAAAUGAAUCUUAUGAUGUGCAAUUUGUGCCUUAAUUAACUUAUAUCCCAAAUUAGGAUUGACAUCAUGAAAAUUAAAGCAAUUUGUGCCUUUAAAAUUAAUAAACCCAGAAUAAGCUUUCAAAUUCUUUAUUGAACCGUUAAAUUUGAACUUGACAAAAAAGGGGCACUAAGAGAUAUAGUGCAUAUAUUGCUUGUUUGUUACAAAAUUUUAGACAACAUUGAAAAAAUUAACUUAAUUUAUAACAUGUGUAAACAAAAUAAAAAGUUUAUUAGUUUAUCAUACAUAUUACAUUAUUUUGAUUAAGUAUAAAAUGAGGUUAGGGAAUGCAUCAAUUAAUCUUAAAAAAAUGAAAAGCAUAAGCGGGCGGGCCGAGCGGGCCUAACCAUCUUGCUAGGCUGGACUUUGACCCAUCAAGCCUCGGACUACCCACUUCGGAGCCGCGGGCCAAAUGAUGAUCCCUAUAUGUUGUAUAUGAUGCUUUGAAGCUUGAGCUUUCUUGAGUGAAGGAUAAAUUUUCUUUGUAAUUACCAUACACUUGCCAGGUAUUUCCCUGAAGGCAUUGAUAUUUACUUUGAGAAUGUUGGAGGCAAAACGCUAGACGCAGUGCUCCUCAACAUGAGAGUCCAUGGCCGCAUUGCUGUAUGUGGAAUGAUCUCACAGUACAAUCUUGAUCAAGCAGAAGGGGUAACAAAUUUGAUGCACCUUGUGUAAAAACGUAUCCGCCUCCAUGGAUUUUCGGUAAGAGAUCACUAUCACAUCCAUCCGAAAUUCGUGGAGUUUAUGCUGCCUUACAUUAGGCAAGGAAAGAUUGUUUAUGUGGAAGACAUAGUUGAAGGCCUUGAGAGUGGUCCAAGAGCGCUGGUUGGACUUUUUAAGGGUCUUAACUUUGGAAAACAAGUAGUUGACGUCUCUGCAUGAAUAAGUUGUUUUGUCAAUCGAUUUGGUGUGCUUGUGUUUCUAACCACUAUAACUUUGUUAAGUGGCUCUUUGGUUUUAUUUUUAUGUUUUUGGAUCCUUUUUGGGAUUGCAUAUGUUAAGUGGUGCACUUUGUCAUACAGAAGAUAUUCAUCAAUAAUAAGGGCUAAUUCAGGAUUGUUGUCACUUUUAAAAAAAGAUGCUUCUGUUGUGUUUUGGAAAUAAUAAGCUGUAAAGUAGUUCCAUGCGUGUUAAACAAUAUUUUUAAAGUGUUGUUAGUAUAAAAAGUUAUGUCAAAACCGUUUGGUAAAUUUUGAUAUAAAACUAGUAACUGUUGAUAAUGACUAAAACAUACAUGAUAUGUCGAAAGUGUUACGUGGUAACCAUAUGGUGGUGGUGGCGGUGGUGGUAUAGGUGGAGGUUGAGUUGGUGGUGGUGGUGGAGGUGGAGGUGGUGGUGAGGCGUGCUACGGGCACCAACUUAAAUACUAAUUUAAUGAUACCAACCUAUGUGGCAUAUGACAUGACAAUUUAUGUCAUAUGCCACAUCAUUUUUUUUAUUAGUUAAGUUUUAACAAUUUUUUGUCAGAAUUAACUUAAUUAUUUAGUUUUAAAUAAAUAAAUUCUGCUCCACGCCUCCCUUCCUUCUCGGAUCUACUACCAUGGCCUCCUUCCUCCCCAACUUGUAUGCCCUUAUUAUUACGCACAUUGAAUUUGGCUUUCGGGGUGUGACAUAUUUUUACCAAUCCCAUGAAGCUUUUCUUAUCUUUGAAUGCUUGAGUGCUAACCAUUGUGUGUUUCCCUUGCUUUAGGAAGAUUGCCUCACUCAGCAAGAAUGCAUGGUGAGGUGUUUGUGAAUGGUGCAAAAUCGGUACAUGUACAUGGCCACGACACCGAUAUAUAAAUGAGAAGAGAAUUCCUUGGUCAGUAUCAAUAUUGCGAAACUGUUGCAGCAUUGAAGGGUUGUGUGAACUCCUCGAUUUCAAGCGAAGUCGAAUAUUGCUUGAUGUGGAAGAUGGCUCAAACUAAUAAAAAUGAGGAAAACGGAUCAUACCAACAAAAAUAUGGCAGAUGGCCAGAAUCAAUAUAACCGUGGUCAGAUUUGGGAAGUGAGGCCAUGGCAGAUUCGGAGAGGGAGGGAGGCCAUGGCAGAUCUAUAAAGGAAUGGAGAAACAGAUCACACCUCUUCCCUUCUCCUCAUACCACAACUCAUCAUACACACCCAAUCGAUUUUGAAAUAUUACAUAAAAGUUGUGAUGGCGCUGGAACUGCAGAUUCAGAACGUUUUUUAUAUGCUUCCCACAAGCAGUCAGACAAACCCUUAGAGGACGAGUGACAUCAUUACCUUCUCAACUUACCAAAGAAAGAACUCCUUCCGAAGUGGUAACCACUUGCCGAUGCUCCCAACUACAGAACCAAGUUUCCAUGGACACGUGUCACCUCCACAAUAGUUUGCACAAAGUCCGACAUUGAAACUUUGUGCAAAACUCCCAUUUUCAGGGAACAGUACCUAAGGAAAAGGGGUAACUACUUUUCACAUUUACUGUUACUCUGCCAAAAUUACCACAUAUACUCGCUGACUUAAGUAUUGGAGAGUCUUCGGCAGGUACCACACCAGUGUCCGAAGCUUGACGAUCCCUUCUUCCUUGUUUUCUUAUGCAAGAUCCCUCCAUACCGAAGGUCCACAACCUUCUCCCUUGCUGAAGAUUUAACACUCCUUUAUCUAAGUUAACCCUCCGAAAAAGAGCAUCAACACGCGCAGCACUCAUUAUCUUUCAACAAUCUGAUUAUCUUAUACUAGUUAAUUUAUGGGUUGUUUGAUAACAAUUUCAAUUUUAAUUUUUAGUUUUCAUUUUCAUUUUUUUUGAAAACUGAAAACAUGUUUGGUAUUAGAUUUCGUUUUCAAAUUAAAAAAAAAGUGAAAUCUAGUUUUCAAAAUCACCUUUUUUUUAAAAAACAACUUGGAAGUGUUUUAUGUUUUUUUUUUAUGUUUUUUUUUUUUUUUUUUUUUUUUUUGUGCACUAUUGUUUGUUGGAGUGUUAGUUGACUUUCUUUGCACACCAAGGUUUCCCAUAUUAACUCAUGCAUAGAUUGGAAUUGAUUUCCUACUCUAAAUAGUAUUAGAAGUUAUUAAUUACCUUACUUAGCCUUCAAGGAAUAUUGUAUUAUAAAUAUGGCCUUCUACAAGGAGAAGAAUACACAGAAAAUUCUCACCACAAUUACUCUUUCGUAAUUUUAGCAUUAUUUCAUUCAUAAGUUUCACAUCACCACACAUGAAAUGCACUCCGGUUACCAAAAGUCGGUAUUUGGGACCUCCCAACUUGGACUUGGUCGCUCAAUUCGUGCUUUUGGCCACAAUCCCAAUCCAAACCUCGUCAACUCCAUGUCCAAAGGUCACUAAAAAAUAAUCAUAAUUUUAAAAAAUUCACCAAAAAAUAUUACGAAUUUUUUGUCAUUCCUGCUUUAACUUUACCUUUUGUUUUCAAAUGUUGACCCGUCCCAACCCAACUCUCAAUGCUCGAAGGGUUCUUUCGUGUAGUUAAGAGUUGGGUUUUCCAAGGUAGGUCUAUAUUGAUUCGAACAACUUUGCGGUAUAUCUGUGGGUAAGAUACUGUUCUCAAAGUAGUAAAGGCUGAACUAAAAGGCUAAAUGGGAAAAUGAAUACUUUCUUUUCUCUUCCUCAAGAAACAUACAUCCUCACCACAAGAGAGGGAGAGUUGCUUGGUAUUUUGUUAAAUAAAAUAAAAUAAUUAAUAAUUGAAAAUAGAAAAUGUUUGAAAAGGAUAUUGGGAAUAAAGAGAGAAGAUGCGGGUGUGAGUAAAAUAACAAUAAAAGAAAAUUAAAUCAAAAAUAAAAAAAUAAAAAAAUAAUUAAGUUUUGGGGAGUAGAAAUCGGGAUGGAGGGGGGAGAGAGAGGUUUUUUUUUAAAAAUUUUUUAUUCGUAUUUUAAUCAAUUUUGAUAUUGUUGAGGCCCAAAAAAGUUACGGGAAGCCCAAAGACAUUUAAAGCCCAAUAUAACAUAUAUUCUCAGUCAUGCGUUAAUCCAAGCUGUAAUUCGGAUUUAAUUCAUUAAAUAAAUAUAAAAUAGUGUACAUGUCAUGCUAAACUAAUAAUACAUUUUCCCCAUGCUAAUCACCUAUCAAGCUCACAUGAACCCAAGUCAUGUGAUUUACGGGCUUGCAUGAGGGAUUGUGGUGUGGAAGGUUACGGAGGUCCACAAGGCCCACGGAAGCUCUUGGAUAACAGAGACUUUGGGCUAGCUACUUGAGAGCACCAAAGUCCAAGCCCAUUACUUAGAGUUCUCCAAUGUGGGUGAGCAAAUGAGACAUUUUUCAAGCACUGCCUUUUACCUAUAGGAAAUAGUCAUUUUCCAAAUACCAAGCUUUACCCGUUGGAAACAAGCAUUUUCCAGCACUUCCUAUUACCCAUUGGAAACAAGCAGUUUCCAGUGCUUCCUUUUACCAAUAGGAAAAAAUCUGUUUAUGAUACCUAGCUUUACCUAUUGGAAAAUAGCAUGUCCUAGUCCUCCCUUUUAACCAUUAGAAAUAGGUUGGUUCCAAUACCUCCCUUUACCUAUUGGAAAUAAAGGAAAACCCUCACCCUCUAUAAAUUGGCACUCAUGGCUCAAGCAAAAGGCACCAAUUUUUCUUCAGCCAAUACUUCCUCACUCGGCUACUGCAAGCAUCCCAGCAGCCACCAACCCCCAUAAAGCAUCACCUAGCUCCAAGCUUUUCCUUCCUUCCAAGCUUUAAACACCAUAGCCUUUAAACCUCAAGCUUUUCCUUCCAUCCUCCUUCUCUUGAAACUCUUAAAUCCCCAUAGCCAUAGCCACACACAACAAAUUAUCAACACCAAACUCAAACAUAUCCAACACCAAGCCAAGCACAUGCAUUCUCAUUUGCUAAACUUGUGGGUCUUUAGCUCCUACACUCCAAGCUCUCAUGCUAAGCUCACAUAAUCUCAUACCAACAUCAGCAAGUCAUCUUCAACUCUUCGUCGAGCUGCCGAAAACAUCAACACAAAACAUGCAGCCGUUGGAAGAAGAACAAAGUACUCUCCCGGGACUUGCUUUUCCCUUGGGACACUUUGGGCCUAGUUCUCGCUAACUCAGAUAAAGGAACAACGAAGUCUUCAUUCAUCACUCUAUGGCGACCCAAGAAUCAACAAAGCCCGGAUGAGCCUUCGAACGAAAGUGACCACAUGCAAAGCUCAAGCUUCAAUAGCCAAGCCCAAGCUUUUGGUUCCUAAAAACAUGCUUACGACAGCUGCAACAAACAAUACCUAAGUCACCAUAAGUGAUAUGCCCCAGCGUCUCAAGCACUUUCUAUGCCCUGACAAUUCUAAUGAUCAAGUUUUAGAGUCAAACCAAAAGGCCAUUGGGAUGUCUCAAUUGCCACAAUUCCAUAAUCAAUCAUCAUCAAGCCUCAAGCCUUAUUCAAGAAAUCCAAGCACUAUUCUUUACUCAAGAAGGAAAACAUCUCAGUUCGUGGCAAAUAGAAGGAAAAUACUACGAAGGUACCGGAAGAACCUAAACACUGUCAAGAUGAAGUUUCCUUUACCAAGCAAUCAAAAUUUUUGAAGUGAUGUCAAGCUAUCAAGAAAAAGAGUAAAGUCACUAUGCAACACAACAACCAAAAUAUGCUUGUAGUAACCAAGAUUCAAGCCAAGCAAAAUGUGGAAGAUAAUGAUGCGUUGUAUGAAAUGCUCCUGGAAGAUAACACAAGCCCUAUAGUCAUGCUGCCGGAAGAGUGAACCAUCAUGCCACUAAAUUUGAAAGAGGAGCCCCAUAUCUGAGUACUGGAAGGCAGCGCAGUGGACUCCAAAACUAAGAUCUAGUCCAAGUGACUUAAGGCCUCCAUAUUGCAAUGCUUAUUUGCCAACACCUAUACCGCUUUCAAGCUACUGCAGACACUAUCAUGCUCAAAUCCUUAAGCAUCUCCCAUUGUAUUUUCAUCUUCUAAUCUACCAAAGCCCUCAUGAUUGACCAAGCUAUAUCUUGAUUCAACUCCACCCACUUGCUCUUUACAGCAGCCCAGGCCCAUCUGUAGCUGCCGGAACAAAAAAGCCCCAACGUAAAUGACAAAACCGAAACACUAAAGCACAUCCACCAUGCUAAAUAGCCCAAAAGCUAUAUUAAACCACGACACUUUAGCCAAUACCAAGCGUACAAGCCAAUGCCCAGCAUCCAAGCAUACAAGCCAAAGCUUAGCGUACAAGCCAAUACUAAGCAUACAUGCCAAUGCCAAGCAUACACACCAAUGCCAAGCAUCCAAGCCAAUACCAAGCGUACAAGACAAAGCCAAGCAUACAAGUCAAUACCAAGCAUACAUGCCAAUGCUACGCGUAUACGCCAAUGCCAAGCAUCUAAGCCAAUACCAAGCAUACAAGCCAAAGCCAAGCGUACAAGCCAAUACCAAGCAUAUAUGAGCCCAAGAUCAAGCGUACAUGCCAAUGCCAAGCAUCCAAAUCAAAUACUAAGAAUACAUGUCAACAUCAAGCAUACAUGCCAACACCAAAUAUACACGUAAAAACCAAGGAAGCAAGCACGGAUGUUUCAUGCAUAUUGAAGAACCAGCCAUGUCAUGCCACUGCCAAUUAUUUUGGGCUGAAAUAGAUUAUUGGGCCCAUCUCACUGCCACUUCAUAGCCCCAAUAAUCAAGGGGGCUAAUGUUGAGGCCCAAAAAAGUUACGGGAAGCUCAAAGACAUUCAAAGCCUAAUAUAACCUAUAAUGUCACUCAUGCGUUAAUCCAAGCUGUAAUUUGGAUUUAAUUCAUUAAAUAAAUAUAGAAAUAGUGUACAUGCCAUACCAAAAUAAUAAUACAUUUUUUCCAUGCCAAUCACCUAUCAAGCUCACAUGAACCCAAGUCAUGUGGUUUAUGGGGCUUGCAAGAGGGAUUGUGGUGUGGAAGGUUACGGAGGUCCACAAGGUUCAUGGAAGCUCUUGAAUAAUGGAGACUUUGGGCUAGCUACUUGGGAGCACCAAAGUCCAAGCCCAUUACUUAGAGUUCUCUAAUGUGGGUGAGCAAAUGAGACAUUUUUUAAGCACUUCCUUUUAUCCAUAGGAAAUAGUCAUUUUCCAAAUAUCUAGCUUUACCCGUUGGAAACAAGCCUUUUCCAGCACUUCCUAUUACCCACUGGAAAUAAGCAGUUUCUAUUACUUCCUUUUACCAAUAGGAAAUAAUCUGUUUAUGGUACUAGCUUUACCUGCUGGAAAAUAGUAUGCCCUAGUGCUCCCUUUUAACCAUUAGAAAUAGGUUGGUUCCAGUACCUCCCUUUACCUAUUGGAAAUAAAGGAAAACCCUCACUCUCUAUAAAUUGGCACUCAUGGCUCAAGUAAAAGGCACCAAUUUUUCUUCAGCCAACACUCCCUAACUCAGCUGCUGCAAGCAUCCCAGCAGCCACCAACCCCCAUAAAGCAUCACCUAGCUCCAAGCUUUUCCUUCCUUCCAAGCUUUAAACACCAUAGCCUUCAAACCUCAAGCUUUUCCUUCCAUCAUCUUUCUCUUGAAACUCUUAAAUCCCCAUAGCCAUAGCCACACACAACAAAUUAUCAACACCAAACUCAAACAUAUCCAACACCAAGCCAAGCACAUGCAUUCUCAUUUGCUAAACUUGUGGGUCUUUAGCUCCCACACUCCAAGCUCUCAUGCCAAGCUCAUAUAAUCUCAUACCAACAUCAGCAAGUCAUCUUCAACUCUUCGUCGAGCUGCCGAAAACAUCAACGCAAAACACGCAGCCGAUGGAAGAAGAACAAAGUACUCUCCCGAGACUUGCUUCUCCCUCGGGAUACUUUGGGCCUAGUUCUCGCUAACUCAGACAAAGGGGCAACGAAGUCUUCAUUCAUCACUCUAUGGCGAUCCAAGAAUCAACAAAGCCCGGAUGAGCCUUCGGACGAAAAAGACCCCAACAGAUAUAAAAAUACCAUUUUUCCCCUGCAGUUAACAGAAAAGUUAACAGCCGGACCAUUUGUCCUAACGAAACUGAAGUUGAAGAACUACGGGAACCAUUUUGAAAAUUGAGGUACUCAAAUACAAAUCGGGUCUAAGUUCAGGGAUUAAUAAAACAAUUAACCCCUGAGUUUAUAAUGCUCGAGAGUAUAUAGGAAGAGGACACUCCAACUGGCAGCUAUGGAGGAGGCCAAGACUAGUAGUGUCUAUUCUGUGAAAGCUAACUUUGCUUUCUUAUUAUCCACAACUUAGAUAUAUCAAUGGCUUCUUGCAAGAACCUCAAUUCUUUAUGAACUUUCUGCCCUAAAAUGCUUUAUCUAAUAGCUCAGACAAUGGUGAAAGAAAAAAAAUUGUUGUUGGAAUCUUAGCAUAAUAAUAUUUUCCAGCCAAAAUCAGUUGUUAGAUUCUCCAACAGCACAAUCUCUUUUCGCAAUCACAUACUAGUCAAUCCUACAGAGCAUAAGAUCCUACUUUGAGGGGUGGAAAGGAAUGAAUUCAACUCACCACUAUUAUGACCAAGGCAAUAAUUUUCAUUUCCAUCACAUGAUUCUAGGUGACCCACAACUCCAUACCACCAACCUGCAAUAUAUACAGAAAAUCCUAUCAAGCAAUGGACAAUGGGAAAUUAAUUAAUUUCACCUUUUAUUUAAGUUUCUGCAUAUUAAACGAAUCUACUUUCAUUAUAUAUUUAAGGGAAAUGUAAGCCUUUUUUUUCGUUCUUUACCCUUUUUUUUCCUCACCUUAAUGGGGCUUGAGGAUGUUUGAAUUGUUCGCUAGAACUACUUUCAUUAUCUAUUUGAGGCAUACUUCAUGAACCACAUGGAUUCUAGGAAGUGAUAUAGACCUUUGUUUCUUUCAUUUGAGCCCUUCUAGCCAACCCGUAUCACUUUUAUCCCUUGUUAAUCACCUUGUGCCUUUUAUGUAAGCCUUUUUUUUCGUUCUUUACCCUUUUUUCCUCACCUUAAUCUAUCAUAUGUUACCCUUCUAAGGAGUUUUGUACAGUAUUUUCGUUGUUAAGGGAGAAUUGCACAACAAUCAUGUGGAAAGUAAAGGAUACUAUUUCCAAAAAAAAAACCUAAUUUCAAACCCUUUUCAACUCGAGUUAUUGAGCCCUAUGAGUGUUUUACAUUUAAUUUCGUAAAGCUAUGUAGCUUGGGAGUCAUUGGCCUAACACUCGCUGCAUGGGUUGAUUAGAAAGCUAAUGAAGAGUUAGAAAAAAAAAUUGUGAAAAAUAAAUAAAUUUCAAGACAGUAUCAAUAUGAAGUUGCGUGCUCAAAGUGCAAGAUGUUAUAAUUUUCAUGGAAAGCUCUAUGAAUUCCUUAGAAUUUGUUCAUCCAUAUCUUUUUCUUGUUUCACCCGUCACUCUAAGCCCCAUUACAACCUUAUUUGAAGACUAUUCUGCUAUUUUCUCAAGGCGUGCAAUAUAUGACUGGAAAGAUAAGAUAAAGACCUACAAUUUACAUAUUUUUUCAGAAUUUUCUCGGAGGAGGAAUGAUUCCAAACGUGGGUGCAAAGUAACUAACGUGUUAUCCUAGUCCAAGUAGGAAGAUGAGUCAAUUACUUACCCAUUUUGGAUUUAAGUUUUAAUUAGCUGUUUCUUUAUUUUUGGGCUGUUGUAAAAGGCCAGCUAAGGUAGGAAUAGACGUGUGGCAUUUUAUUUAAGCAUGAGACAACUCCUUUGGGAAGACGCAAAGACUAGGAGAAAUUGGAGACGCCGGAAGAGUACCACAAUUGGCUAAGUUUUAUUGUUUCUUCCUUAUGUUUUUGUUUAUGUCAAAUUCUAUGAUUAUGUGUAACUAAUUUUAUUUUGCUAGGGCAUGAUGUAUGCCUAGUAUGAUAAUCUAGUUUUCUUAUUUUACCUAUCUAUUGAUUGCAGUUUGAUGUUAGAUUCUUAAUCACUGUGCUUAGUACCUUAGUUGAUUACCUUGAUGCUUGAUCACCAUCUAGACUUUUAAUUGAGUUAAUCGGAUGCGAAUUAGAGUAAAUACCAUACUUAAUUUGAGGUUUGCUUCUUGUGAUUAGAAUUUGUAAUUUGUCUAAAGUAAAUACCAUACUCCUAGAAUUUACAUGCUUGUUGGAGGUUUUCACUGAUUUCAAUAUUUUCCCGACAUGUGAUGCCAACAACAUAGAUGUUUCAAUGUUUCACUAUGGAAGCAAUCACGUAAGGAUUAACAUGGCAGGACAUCAGACAUGAGAAACUAAGAAGAGAGAGAGAGAGAGAGAGAGAGACUUGCCAUUCAAGCAAGAGAAGGCCAUAACACUAUAUAGCAAUAGCACCGUAAAAUAAGAUGCAAAGAAUGAGGGGGUCAUGUUUUCAAGUACCAAAACACGCAAGGGCAUUUUGGUAAAGUACAUCUGAAAAUAAAUCAAGGCAAGCAAAGCCGUAGAUAUCCUCUUCCUGCUACACAUAGUAUUAGCCUACGUAAGGUCAUUACGGCGCCGUUUCCCUUUUUAAUUGGCGUAGUUCAACUCAUCAUCCACCCAAGUUCAUUUCGUUCAAAGCUAUAAAUAACCCCUCAAACCAUUCAACUUUCCCACCACCACUCCUCACUCCUUCAACUCAUUAACCUCUCUCUCUCUCUCUCUCUCUCUCUCUCUCUCUCUCAUCCGCAAAUGGCGAACCGUAGAAGCCUCUUUUCUCUCUCACUUAUCUUUGUGUUCAUGAUCAACUCAGCCAUAGCCACUCCAGUCACAUACAAUGUGGCCAGUUUAGGAGCCAAAGCAGAUGGCAAGACUGACUCCACAAAAGCCUUCCUCUCUGCAUGGGCUAAAGCUUGUGCCUCGAUGAAUCCCGGUGUCAUUUAUGUGCCGGCAGGAACGUUCUUUCUUCGCGAUGUGGUGUUCAGUGGGCCUUGCAAGAACAAUGCCAUCACCUUCCGCAUUGCCGGAACCCUUGUGGCCCCGUCGGAUUACCGGGUCAUCGGUAAUGCAGCUAACUGGAUUUUCUUUCACCAUGUAAACGGGGUUACCAUAUCAGGUGGAAUUCUUGACGGCCAAGGCACGGCCUUGUGGGCUUGCAAGGCCUCUCAUGGCGAGAGUUGUCCCAGCGGAGCAACGGUAAUUAAUUCACUACUUUAAAUAUCAUAUUCAUGACACCAUUAAAUAUCAAAUUCAUGACACCAUUAUUUUGUGCUUCAUUAUUAGUGAGAAUUUUAAAGGUCAACGUACGUACAAUUUGCUUUAUUAUUUGCUACCAAUUGAAUUGAGGGUUUAUAAAAUAAGUUCAAACUCCACAGAACGUAAUCAAAUGGACAUGAUAAAUUGUACCACAAGUUUAGCUUGAUCAAGUAAUUUCGUAAUAUGUGCAGACUUUGGGUUUUUCCGACUCAAACAACAUCGUGGUGAGUGGAUUGGCAUCCCUAAACAGCCAAAUGUUCCAUAUAGUCAUCAACGACUGCCAAAAUGUGCAAAUGCAAGGUGUCAGGGUUUCUGCUUCCGGUAAUAGCCCUAACACCGAUGGCAUUCAUGUCCAAAUGUCAUCUGGUGUCACAAUCCUCAACUCCAAGAUUGCAACCGGUGACGAUUGUGUCUCAAUUGGCCCCGGAACCUCAAAUUUGUGGAUAGAAGGCGUUGCUUGUGGACCUGGCCAUGGAAUUAGGUACGACAUCAAAAUUAUAUAUUUAUCCAUGAUUGAUUAAACUAGCUAAAUGCAUACUAUUUCAUAAUAUAUGUUAUAAUGUAUAUCUUUUUUCUUCAUUGCUUAAUGACAUUUGAACUUAGGACAUCUUUCAAUAAAGUGGAGAUUAAUUGAUUGCUAGUAGAGAUUCAUUGCCUACAAAAAGUAUAUCUUUCUUUUGGGUGGAUGUUCUAGUUGUAAAUUUAACAUUGCUUUACUUGAUGGUUCAGCAUUGGAAGUCUAGGCAAGGAGCAAGAAGAGGCCGGUGUACAAAAUGUAACAGUUAAAACGGUUACCUUUAGUGGUACUCAGAAUGGUCUAAGAAUCAAGUCAUGGGGGAGGCCAAGCACUGGGUUUGCUAGAAAUAUUCUUUUCCAACAUGCUACAAUGGUCAAUGUCGAAAAUCCUAUUGUCAUAGAUCAACAUUAUUGCCCCGACAACAAAGGGUGCCCUGGUCAGGUAAGAUAUCAUUCAUGCUCUAAAAAUCAGUUCCCAAAGUUUAAUAUUACAACUCAAUUUUCUCUUCUUCACAUUGAUAAAAACGUUGGCAUCACCAAAUUAUAACUGUCUAAGUUCGAAACAUAUCAAAAGCUUUCUUGGGCUUCCACCUAGAAGAGCCAAUAAUUUUAGGCCCAAAGCAAAUCCAAUAACUCCUUCCUCCAUGGGCUUGCUCUCCUACUACUUACAAAGAUCGAGCCUUGCUCAUUGUAACCUUUGUAACUUAUUAAUGGAAUUGAGGGUUGUAGCUCAAGUGGUUAACAACAUUUACUCUGGUAUUCGAAGUCCUAGAUUUAAUUCCCCUCUUUUCCAAUACCAUUUUUAUCAAAAUGACUUCAUCGUAGCUUAGCCAAAAAAGCAUUGAAUCCCAUUAAGCCGAAUUCCCAUGCUAUAAUACUUGUUCACCUUCUGUUUUAUCAAAAGCUGGAAAUCUGACUUCGUAUUGUUUUUUUUUUCUUUUGUCAAUUUUGUUUUUCAAUAGGUUUCCGGAGUUCAAAUUAGCGAUGUGACAUACGAAGACAUACACGGUACAUCAGCAACAGAAGUUGCAGUAAAAUUUGAUUGCAGUCCCAAGCACCCUUGCAGCGAGAUCAAAUUGGAGGAUGUGAAGCUUACUUACAAGAACCAAGCAGCUGAGUCUUCAUGUAGCCAUGCAGAUGGAACAACUGAGGGUGUGGUUCAGCCUACAAGUUGUUUGUAGAGUGGAAAAAUAUGAACUGCUUGUAGAAGUAUUGAAAUCCAAAAGUUUGCCCUCCAGUACUAAGGACAAAUGAAAAGUGAAUUAUACGAUUUAUAGGAAGAAUAAGCUUGUGGCGUUGGCAGCCUAUUUCGGCUCCCUUGAUCCUGGCCGUUCAAUUAGUUUAGUUUGUUCAAACUCGUCCACUUCGAUGGGUGUUUAUGUUAUAUGAACUGUUGUAAGAUUAUGUCCGGAAGACGUUAAAUUUACAAGAUUAAAUUUUAUUUUGAUGGCUGAUGUGGCAUUUGACAUAGAAUUCAAUAUUCUAUCAAUUUAAUUCACAAUUUUAUUAUAAUCGGAAGCACACAUUAAAUAGUAAAAAUUUGGUUCAAGAAACAAAAGGAUUUCAACACUCGCAUGAACUUUUUGGUUGGAGCAUUUUCUCAUGCCAAAUUUUACCCGUUAAAAAUUUAUUAUGGUAUUUUGACAUUUUGGUUGGAGCAUUUUCUCAUGUCAAAUUUUACCCGUUAAAAAUUUACUAUGAUAUUUUAACAUUUCGAUUGGAGAUGUAUAAAUGUUAAAUAUGCAUUGAUUCAAGAUGCAUUUUUGUUUCUUAUUCUUGAGCUUUGAGCUUUAGGUAAUUAACUUGAAUGCUGUUGGGCACCUUGCACUAGUUGAUUAAAGAAAAAUAGACCCGAAGCAAGAUUCCUUGUAGUUGCCAAUUCGAAGUUUUCUUUAUCGCUACAUACUUACUGGUCUACAACUUCUCUCUCUAAUACAUAAUUUGACAUAAAUAAAUACAAUGAAGAGUGCAUUGACUAAACAAAACAAAACAAAAAAGCAGCACGUAAGCACUUACGUGCAUUUGGUGUAAAAGCUAAAGGCCUCUGAUUUAUGUAAGCAGUUACGCUAAUCAUAUUAUAUUAUAUGUAUCUUGGCUCUGUAAUUGUAACGGAAAUAACACUGUUUUGUUAUUCUCAACCAAUAACACAAUGAUACGUGGAAAAGUUAUUUCACGUGUCAUUGCGUUAUUGGUUGAGAUAUAUCUUUCCCUUUCAAUUUUUGUAAACAUAUAUACCAAAUGUUAUGCUCAAAUAUAUAUUAAUUGUUAGACAUUGUUACCUUAAAAAAAAAAAUGUAUUGCAAAAUACAAGUUUGAUCAUAUGAUUAAUUUAAUUUUGUUGGUGUAAACGUGCAGCCAAUAUAUGGGUAUGGAGUCUCUGGGCACCCAGAUUUGAAGGCAGGUGACUUAGUUUGGGGGACUACCUAUUGGGAAGAGUACAGCCGAAUCCCUGAACCCGAAGGCCUGAUCAAAAUCCAGCACACUGAUGUACCUCUAUCCUAUUAUACUGGAAUUCUUGGUAACAAGUCAAACCUAUUUUAGAUCAUGAUGAUAUGUGUUGGUUUAGAUACGUAAGUGUAUUUUUUGUAAUUUCAUUUCAGGUAUGCCUGGUUUGACCGCUUAUGUUGGUUUCUAUGAAAUUUGUUCUCCUAAGAAAGGAGAACAUGUCUUCAUUUCAGCAGCAGCUGGUGCUGUUGGUCAGCUUGUUGGACAAUUUGCAAAAUUAAUGGGUUGUUAUGUUGUUGGAAGUGCUGGCAGUAAGGAAAAGGUACGAACUUGAGAAAUCUUUGAACUUCAAAUUAAUAUUAUCUACACCAUUUUUUCUUGUUUGGGUUGUAUUUUGCCGUUGUUAUUUGGGCCAACUUUGGUGUUGGUUUGGGUUGGGGCUUCUGUUUGUGUUGUUGAAUUGGGUCUUUUAGUUGUUUUUGUAAACUCUGACUUAACCAUUUUCUUUGCGUGUGCUAAAUUUAUAAUUUUGACCAGUGUCACGCAGGAAAUGUUUCAUGCUUUGUUAACAGGGGACUUUAGAGGAGUAUUUUAUUCAGAUGAAAAGUGAUUCAUUCCUUUCCUUUAUGGAUUCAUCUUGUUAGGUUGAUCUAUUGAAGAAUGAGCUUGGAUUUGAUGAGGCUUUUAACUAUAAAGAAGAGACUGACUUGAAUGCGGCUUUCAAAAGGUACAUAUGAGUAAUGAUAGAGAGAUUAGAUUUAUAAACCCUAGCGUACCAUGAAUACAAUGAGUUUCAACUCUAUUAGACAAGUUGUUAUUUGACAGGUGGUAUACAAAGCAAUCUAUAAAUGUGAUCUCCCUAUUAUUUUUCGUAAAAUACAUAUUUAUUAUGUUAUACUAGUUUCCUUUAGUAAGAAAAGAAAGGAAAAAAACGAUUAUAAAGAAUUUGUGUGUUGUCAGGGUUCGUUAUUCGACUGGGCCAACUCAAAAAUUUUGGGUUCGAGUCGAGCCCUCAUGGGCCUAAAUGGGCCAGACUUUUUGUUUUAGAAAGUCUUUUAAAUCUUUUUGUUACACAUUUCAUUUUUUCAAAAGUGAUGGAUAUAGAGUAUUCUUUUAAACAAUAGUAUAGAUUACUACAUAAUUUAAGAAAACAAAAAUAUAAUGGCCAAACUUUUUUACUAAACCUAGACCAAUAACCAAUAUAUUUAAAAAAUAUUAUACCUAAAAAUGAAUCUUAUAAUGUGCAAUUUGUGCCUUAAUUAACUUAUAUCCCAAAUUAGGAUUGACAUCAUGAAAAUUAAAGCAACUUGUGCCUUUAAAAUUAAUAAACCCAGAAUAAGCUUUCAAAUUCUUUAUUGAACCAUUAAAUUUGAACUUGACAAAAAAGGGGCACUAAGAGAUAUGGUGCAUAUAUUGCUUGUUUGUUACAAAAUUUUAGACAACAUUGAAAAAAUUAACUUAAUUUAUAAUAUGUGUAAACAAAAAAAAAAAAAAAAAAAAAAGCAUAAGGGGGCGGGCCUAACCAUCCUGUUAGGCCGGACUUUGGCCCAUCAGGCCUCGGACUACCCACUUCGGGGCCGCGGGCCAAAUGAUGAUCCUUAUAUGUUGUAUAUGAUGCUUUGAAGCUUGAGCUUUCUUGAGUGAAGAAUAAAUUUUCUUUGUAAUUACCAUACACUUGUCAGGUAUUUCCCUGAAGGCAUUGAUAUUUACUUUGAGAAUGUUGGAGGCAAAACGCUAGACGCAGUGCUCCUCAACAUGAGAGUCCAUGGCCGCAUUGCUGUAUGUGGAAUGGUCUCACAGUACAAUCUUGAUCAAGCAGAAAGGGUAACAAAUUUGAUGCACCUUGUGUACAAACGUAUCCGCCUCCAUCGAUUUUCGGUAAGAGAUCACUAUCACCUCCAUCCGAAAUUCGUGGAGUUUAUGCUGCCUUACAUUAGGCAAGGAAAGAUUGUUUAUGUGGAAGACAUAGUUGAAGGCCUUGAGAGUGGUCCAAGAGCGCUGGUUGGACUUUUUAAGGGUCUUAACUUUGGAAAACAAGUAGUUGACGUCUCUGCAUG
Molecule: long non-coding RNA, 40191 nt
Filed under: Prunus persica (peach)
Lineage: Eukaryota; Viridiplantae; Streptophyta; Magnoliopsida; Rosales; Rosaceae
Description: long non-coding RNA (PPER_LNC004544)
Source: RNAcentral